Molecule: ribosomal RNA, 250 nt
Filed under: uncultured Actinomycetales bacterium
Lineage: Bacteria; Bacillati; Actinomycetota; Actinomycetes; Actinomycetales
Description: partial 16S ribosomal RNA
Rfam family: Bacterial small subunit ribosomal RNA
Source: RNAcentral
UGGGGUGCUCGAGUGGCGAACGGGUGAGUAACACGUGAGUAACCUGCCCUUGACUUUGGGAUAACUUCAGUAAACUGGGGCUAAUACCGGAUAGGAGCUCCUGCUGCAUGGUGGGGGUUGGAAAGUUUCGGCGGUUGGGGAUGGACUCGCGGCUUAUCAGCUUGUUGGUGGGGUAAUGGCCUACCAAGGCGACGACGGGUAGCCGGCCUGAGAGGGUGUACGGCCACAUUGGGACUGAGACACGGCCCAG